RNAcentral lists this transfer RNA (83 nucleotides) under Candidatus Woesebacteria bacterium. RNAcentral describes it as "tRNA-Leu". It matches the Rfam family "tRNA". From Rfam's summary of the family: Transfer RNA (tRNA) molecules are approximately 80 nucleotides in length. Their secondary structure includes four short double-helical elements and three loops (D, anti-codon, and T loops). The record is from RNAcentral. Lineage: Bacteria; Candidatus Woeseibacteriota.
GCCGAAGUGCUGAAAUGGUAGACAGGCACGCUUCAGGAGCGUGUGCUCUUUUGAGCGUGAGAGUUCAAAUCUCUCCUUCGGCA